Molecule: ribosomal RNA, 257 nt
Filed under: uncultured bacterium
Lineage: Bacteria
Description: partial 16S ribosomal RNA
Rfam family: Bacterial small subunit ribosomal RNA
Source: RNAcentral
CACGUAGGGGGCAAGCGUUGUCCGGAUUUAUUGGGCGUAAAGAGCUCGUAGGUGGCUAAGUAAGUCGGACCUUAAAUCCCCAGGCUCAACCUGGGACACGGCUCGAUACUGCUUUGGCUAGAGUCCGGUAGGGGAGCAUGGAAUUCCUGGUGUAGCGGUAGAAAUGCGCAGAUAGUCAGGAGGAACACCAGCGGCGGAAGGCGGUGCUCUGGGCCGGAACUGACACUGAGGAGCGGAAAGCGUGGGUAGCAAACAGG